Molecule: transfer RNA, 58 nt
Rfam family: tRNA
About the family: Transfer RNA (tRNA) molecules are approximately 80 nucleotides in length. Their secondary structure includes four short double-helical elements and three loops (D, anti-codon, and T loops).
AGCUCAGUUGGUUGGAGCAUGGUACUGAUAAUGCCAAAGUGGUAGGUUUGAUUCCUGC